AAGUCGUAACAAGGUUUCCGUAGGUGAACCUGCGGAAGGAUCAUUAAUGAGUUUGAAUGGGUUGUUGCUGGCCUUUCGAGGCAUGUGCACACCUUUCUCAAUCCAACCAACACCUGUGAACUUAUGGGGAAGAUGAAGAGUGACGCUGGAUAACGGCUGAUCUCUAAGUCCUCUCUUCUUUACACCAAACUAAAGUUAUAGAACGUCCUUUGCUUAAUGCAAACAAAUACAACUUUCAACAACGGAUCUCUUGGCUCUC
Molecule: unclassified non-coding RNA, 259 nt
Filed under: air metagenome
Description: partial contains small subunit ribosomal RNA, internal transcribed spacer 1, and 5.8S ribosomal RNA
Rfam family: Eukaryotic small subunit ribosomal RNA (bases 1-46)
Source: RNAcentral